This 429-nucleotide ribosomal RNA is filed under the name Acidobacteriota bacterium. RNAcentral's name for it is "Acidobacteria bacterium partial 16S ribosomal RNA". It matches the Rfam family "Bacterial small subunit ribosomal RNA", at positions 355 to 776 of the family's 1533-position model. Lineage: Bacteria; Pseudomonadati; Acidobacteriota. The record is from RNAcentral.
UGGGGAAUUUUGGACAAUGGGGGAAACCCUGAUCCAGCCAUCCCGCGUGUGCGAUGAAGGCCUUCGGGUUGUAAAGCACUUUUGGCAGGAAAGAAACGUCAUGGGUUAAUACCCUGUGAAACUGACGGUACCUGCAGAAUAAGCACCGGCUAACUACGUGCCAGCAGCCGCGGUAAUACGUAGGGUGCAAGCGUUAAUCGGAAUUACUGGGCGUAAAGCGUGCGCAGGCGGUUCGGAAAGAAAGAUGUGAAAUCCCAGAGCUCAACUUUGGAACUGCAUUUUUAACUACCGAGCUAGAGUGUGUCAGAGGGAGGUGGAAUUCCGCGUGUAGCAGUGAAAUGCGUAGAUAUGCGGAGGAACACCGAUGGCGAAGACAGCCUCCUGGGAUAACACUGACGCUCAUGCGCGAAAGCGUGGGGAGCAAACAGG